This 692-nucleotide ribosomal RNA is filed under the name Lasaeola prona. Its description in RNAcentral is "eukaryotic LSU rRNA". It matches the Rfam family "Eukaryotic large subunit ribosomal RNA", at positions 597 to 891 of the family's 3401-position model. The record is from RNAcentral. Lineage: Eukaryota; Metazoa; Arthropoda; Arachnida; Araneae; Theridiidae.
AGGAUUCAGUCGGAGGGCGGGGGCGUUUGUGUUGUCGCUAGUUCUGCUUUGGGACUGCCUCGGCCUCUCGUUCUCCUGCUUCUACGACGCAAUUCUUUUCCGUCCCGAGGACGCCGCGACCGGUUGGGAAACGGCUUGAAAGUCGACGAAGGUAGGUGGCCAGCGUCCGCCCUCGUGGUUGGCGUUGGUGACUCGACCUGUUGAUUUUGGCUCGUGUCCCGACCGUAGUGUUUUGGAGCCUUGUUGGGCUCGAUCGUCUCCUCCAACGGAAGUCGGACUGCGUGUGGCAGUAGUUCUCUGUGCCGGUGGCGCACAGGUUGUUCUGUGGUUGGUUGUUCAAGAGUCUAUGUUGUGGUUGCAAGUGAUCCGUUGGAGUGCUGGCGGUCAGCGGCGAGUAGAUCGGUCACCCACCUGACCCGUCUUGAAACACGGACCAAGGAGUCUAACAUGUGUGCGAGUCAAUGGGUCUCGAAAAAGCCCGGAGGCGUAAUGAAAGCAAAGGUCGGACUUGAAGCCGACCGUGUUGGGAUCUUCCUGCCAUCGCGCAGGAGGCGCACCAACGACCCGUUCUAUCCGACUUGUCGGUUGGGCGGUGUUUGAGCAUACACGUUGGCACCCGAAAGAUGGUGAACUAUGCCCAGGCAGAACGAAGCCAGAGGAAACUCUGAUGGAGGUUCGCAGCGGUUCUGACG